AUGAGAAAGAUGAAACGUCGUUGUAUUGAUGGUAACGGUAGAAUGCGGGGAGAGAGUGGCAGAGCGGAGAGUGAGAAGGUUGCUCAGGUCAAGAACCAUGAUGCUUUAACAGUGCGUAAACAAUUACUCAUUUGGUUAUUGUAUUCUCAUUUAGAAAAGUGCAUGGGGAAGGGUAGGAAGGCUCGUUUGAAGGUGACAAGGAGCAGCUCCGGGUCAGGUUCACAGAACCGGUAUUCACGAGGCAGUAGCGUGAAUCGGUUGGCAAAUGGAAACCCUAGUUUUGCAGGCAACGAGCACUCAAUCGGGUCAUCUCAACCAUGA
Vicia faba (fava bean) is the source of this 321-nucleotide non-coding RNA. The record is from the annotation of a GenBank genome assembly. NCBI's taxonomy places the organism in Eukaryota, Viridiplantae, Streptophyta, Magnoliopsida, Fabales, Fabaceae.